UUUUCUAAACUAACCUAAUUAUGUACAAACAGACGAGUUCAUAUACUUCAAAAAACUAUAAAUAUAUAGAUAAAUUUGUUUAACUACUAACACUUUGCGUCCUUCAGAAAGUGAUGGAUUUUCAGGGUUGUUUAAUUGCUUUCAAUCAAAAAAUAAAAUAAUAAGGUACAUAAUCGUACGUAUUUGCAGAAGGUGAUGUGAUAAAUAUAGGUUCUUCGCUUGCGUUUACAUGUAUUCGUUUAUUUAGAAGUCGUUACAAAUACACAUAUAUUGAAUAUGGCCAGUGAUUUCGUAACCACAUGAGGAGCAAAAAUGUGUAUAACAUUGGAACGGUGAAAUCGAAACAAUUAUUUAAUAAUCGGCCAUUUUGUUUUGACCAUUUUUAAAUUAGCACAUCAUGAAUAAAUAAAUAUUCUACCAAUAUGAAUAAUUACAUGAAA
Molecule: long non-coding RNA, 440 nt
Organism: Bactrocera oleae (olive fruit fly)
Lineage: Eukaryota; Metazoa; Arthropoda; Insecta; Diptera; Tephritidae
Source: RefSeq, a predicted model, not a curated record